Molecule: long non-coding RNA, 238 nt
Organism: Monopterus albus (swamp eel)
Lineage: Eukaryota; Metazoa; Chordata; Actinopteri; Synbranchiformes; Synbranchidae
Exons: 3
Source: RefSeq, a predicted model, not a curated record
AUUACACGAGACCAGAGGAGAAACGCUCUGAGCCUGCAGCUCUGCCUCCAGCUCCAGUCAAAGUACCUGAAACAAAGAAGCCGCAGCCAGAUGCAGCUGUCACUGCUCUGCCUCAGAGAGAAGAACCUCUGGCCCUGGAAGAACCUGAACCAGAACCUGAACCAGUGAGAGUUCCCAGAAAGGUCAUUCCUGAACCUUACCAACCCGAGCCAGCAGCAGAGCCUGCAGUGGUUCCUUC